AAGCGUUGUUCGGAAUUAUUGGGCGUAAAGCGCGUGUAGGCGGCCAAGCAAGUCGGGUGUGAAAGCCCUCAGCUUAACUGAGGAAGUGCGCCCGAAACUACAUGGCUUGAGUACCGGAGAGGGUGGCGGAAUUCCCGGUGUAGAGGUGAAAUUCGUAGAUAUCGGGAGGAACACCAGUGGCGAAGGCGGCCACCUGGACGGCUACUGACGCUGAGACGCGAAAGCGUGGGGAGCAAACAGGAUUAGAUACCCUGGUAGUCCACGCUGUAAACGAUGAGCGCUAGGUGUUGCGGGUAUUGACCCCUGCAGUGCC
RNAcentral lists this ribosomal RNA (313 nucleotides) under uncultured delta proteobacterium. RNAcentral describes it as "bacterial SSU rRNA". It matches the Rfam family "Bacterial small subunit ribosomal RNA", at positions 536 to 847 of the family's 1533-position model. Lineage: Bacteria; Deltaproteobacteria. The record is from RNAcentral.